RNAcentral lists this ribosomal RNA (254 nucleotides) under uncultured bacterium. RNAcentral's name for it is "partial 16S ribosomal RNA". It matches the Rfam family "Bacterial small subunit ribosomal RNA", at positions 524 to 776 of the family's 1533-position model. The record is from RNAcentral.
UACGAAGGGGGCUAGCGUUGCUCGGAAUCACUGGGCGUAAAGGGUGCGUAGGCGGGUCUUUAAGUCAGGGGUGAAAUCCUGGAGCUCAACUCCAGAACUGCCUUUGAUACUGAAGAUCUUGAGUCCGGGAGAGGUGAGUGGAACUGCGAGUGUAGAGGUGAAAUUCGUAGAUAUUCGCAAGAACACCAGUGGCGAAAGGCGGCUCACUGGCCCGGUACUGACGCUGAGGCACGAAAGCGUGGGGAGCAAACAGG